Molecule: unclassified non-coding RNA, 315 nt
Filed under: uncultured Herpotrichiellaceae
Lineage: Eukaryota; Fungi; Ascomycota; Eurotiomycetes; Chaetothyriales; Herpotrichiellaceae
Description: sequence contains ITS1
Rfam family: 5.8S ribosomal RNA (bases 1-104)
Source: RNAcentral
GAAAUGCGAUAAGUAAUGCGAAUUGCAGAAUCCGUGAGUCAUCGAAUCUUUGAACGCACAUUGCGCCCUUUGGUAUUCCGAAGGGCAUGCCUGUUCGAGCGUCAUUAUCACCCCUCAAGCCCCGGGCUUGGUGUUGGAUUUCGUUAUAGAUCAAGCUGUAACGGGCCUCAAAGAUAGUGACGGCGCCCCAGAAGGAACCGGUACGAGGAGCUUCUAGCUAAGCAUGUACGCGGUAGGACUCUGUGGGUGACGGUCUUGUUUACUUAUAAUUCAAGUGUUGACCUCGGAUCAGGUAGGGAUACCCGCUGAACUUAA